CGUAGGGUGCAAGCGUUAAUCGGAAUUACUGGGCGUAAAGCGUGCGCAGGCGGUUUUGUAAGACUGUCGUGAAAUCCCCGGGCUCAACCUGGGAAUGGCGAUGGUGACUGCAAGGUUAGAGUUUGGCAGAGGGGGGUAGAAUUCCACGUGUAGCAGUGAAAUGCGUAGAUAUGUGGAGGAACACCGAUGGCGAAGGCAGCCCCCUGGGUCAAAACUGACGCUCAUGCACGAAAGCGUGGGGAGCAAACAGGAUUAGAUACCCUGGUAGUCCACGCCCUAAACGAUGUCUACUAGUUGUCGGGUCUUAAUUGACUUGGUAACGCAGCUAACGCGUGAAGUAGACCGCCUGGGGAGUACGGUCGCAAGAUUA
RNAcentral lists this ribosomal RNA (370 nucleotides) under uncultured organism. RNAcentral's name for it is "bacterial SSU rRNA". It matches the Rfam family "Bacterial small subunit ribosomal RNA", at positions 526 to 896 of the family's 1533-position model. The record is from RNAcentral.